GAGUUUGAUCCUGGCUCAGGACGAACGCUGGCGGCGUGCUUAACACAUGCAAGUCAAGGAGAAAGUCCCGUUCGCGGGAUGAUUAAACUGGCGCACGGGUGAGUAAUAUAUAAGCAAUCUACCCAUAGGUAUGGAAUAACGUCGAGAAAUCGGCGCUAAUACCAUAUAAUGCAGCGGCAUCGCAUGAUGAUGUUGUUAAAGUUCAUGAAACGCCUAUGGAUGAGCUUGUAUCUGAUUAGCUUGUUGGUGAGGUAAUGGCUCACCAAGGCAAUGAUCAGUAGCUGGUCUGAGAGGAUGAUCAGCCACAUUGGAACUGAGACACGGUCCAGACUCCUACGGGAGGCAGCAGUGAGGAAUAUUGGGCAAUGGGCGAAAGCCUGACCCAGCAACGCCGCGUGAAGGAUGAAUGUCGUAAGAUUGUAAACUUCUUUUAGAGGGGACGAAAAAACAGGUUAGAAGCCUGAAUUGACGGUACCCUCAGAAUAAGCCCCGGCUAACUACGUGCCAGCAGCCGCGGUAAUACGUAGGGGGCAAGCGUUGUCCGGAUUUACUGGGUGUAAAGGGCGCGCAGGCGGAUUUGUCAGUCAGGGGUGAAAUCCUACAGCUUAACUGUAGAACUGCCUUUGAUACUGCAAACCUUGAGUACGGAAGAGAGAGGCGGAAUUCCAGGUGUAGUGGUGAAAUACGUAGAUAUCUGGGAGAACACCAGAGGCGAAGGCGGUCUCUUGGUCCGUUACUGACGCUGAGGCGCGAAAGCGUGGGGAGCAAACAGGAUUAGAUACCCUGGUAGUCCCACGCUGUAAACGAUGAAUACUAGGUGUUGGGUUUUUUGACUCAGUGCCGCAGCAAACGCAUUAAGUAUUCCACCUGGGGAGUACGAUCGCAAGGUUGAAACUCAAAGGAAUUGACGGGGGCCCGCACAAGCAGUGGAGCAUGUGGUUUAAUUCGAUGCAACGCGAAGAACCUUACUAGGCUUGAAAGUAUGAUGAGUGUGAAGCUACUCUUUCAUCGGAACGCUAUUACAGAUGCUGCAUGCUGACGUCAACUCAGUAUGGAGGUGUUGGUUAAGUCUCCGCCACGAGCCACCCUACUAUUAGCUGCAUUAGUAUGCUGGACACCUUCUAUG
This 1126-nucleotide ribosomal RNA is filed under the name uncultured Chlorobiota bacterium. Its description in RNAcentral is "bacterial SSU rRNA". It matches the Rfam family "Bacterial small subunit ribosomal RNA", at positions 9 to 1147 of the family's 1533-position model. The record is from RNAcentral. Lineage: Bacteria; Pseudomonadati; Chlorobiota.